RNAcentral lists this unclassified non-coding RNA (331 nucleotides) under soil metagenome. RNAcentral's name for it is "partial contains 5.8S ribosomal RNA, internal transcribed spacer 2, and large subunit ribosomal RNA". The stretch from base 1 to 120 matches the Rfam family "5.8S ribosomal RNA", at positions 35 to 154 of the family's 154-position model. The record is from RNAcentral.
GAUGAAGAACGCAGCGAAAUGCGAUAAGUAAUGUGAAUUGCAGAAUUCAGUGAAUCAUCGAAUCUUUGAACGCACAUUGCGCCCCCUGGUAUUCCGGGGGGCAUGCCUGUUCGAGCGUCAUUUCGCCACUCAAGCCUCGCUUGGUAUUGGGCAACGCGGUCCGCCGCGUGCCUCAAAUCGACCGGCUGGGUCUUCUGUCCCCUAAGCGUUGUGGAAACUAUUCGCUAAAGGGUGUUCGGGAGGCUACGCCGUAAAACAACCCCAUUUCUAAGGUUGACCUCGGAUCAGGUAGGGAUACCCGCUGAACUUAAGCAUAUCAAUAAGCGGAGGA